AUGAAGGCCUUCGGGUUGUAAACCACUGUCACGCGUUAUGAACACCGGGGAGACAAUAUCAAUCCGGAUGACAAAGGCGCGAGAGGAAGCCACGGCUAACUCUGUGCCAGCAGCCGCGGUAAGACAGAGGUGGCAAGCGUUGCUCGGAGUUACUGGGCAUAAAGGGCGCGUAGGCGGUCGAGUGCGUCGGUGGUGAAAUCCCCGGGCUCAACCCGGGAACUGCCAUCGAUACGGCCCGACUUGAGUGCGGGAGGGGAGAGUGGAACUCCUGGUGGAGCGGUGAAAUGCGUAGAUAUCAGGAGGAACGCCGGUGGCGAAAGCGACUCUCUGGUCCGCAACUGACGCUGAGGCGCGAAAGCCAGGGGAGCAAACGGGAUUAGAUACCCCGGUAGUCCUGGCCCUAAACGAUGAGCACUAGGUAGUGGCGAGUCCGACUCGUCACUGCUGAAGCAAAUGUAAUAAGUGCUCCGCCUGGGGAGUAUGGUCGCAAGGCUA
This 495-nucleotide ribosomal RNA is filed under the name uncultured bacterium. RNAcentral describes it as "bacterial SSU rRNA". It matches the Rfam family "Bacterial small subunit ribosomal RNA", at positions 408 to 896 of the family's 1533-position model. The record is from RNAcentral.